Ruditapes philippinarum (Manila clam) is the source of this 642-nucleotide long non-coding RNA. RefSeq lists it as uncharacterized. The record is from RefSeq and is a predicted model, not a curated record. The transcript is spliced from 3 exons. Lineage: Eukaryota; Metazoa; Mollusca; Bivalvia; Venerida; Veneridae.
AGGGUCAAAGUGCACGUGACGAAAGGUCAAAUGGCUUCAAACUCCUACAGAAAUUUGAUUAGCUUCGCUGUAGCGACAAAAGGGAACCAUUGACAUUGCGACUCUUAUGUAAAUUUAAAAAUAUCGCGCCAGUGAACAUAAAUCUAGCUAAACCCCGCAAUCCGUAACAUUCCGGACCGGGCAUCUUGGUCUGCAGAAAACUUGGCAAGCGUUUGGAUGCAGUUCGUGGACUUCCUAUUGUUUUUGUAGUGCACAUGUAAAUUUAUUCAAAGGCAGUGGAAGACAUGAAUAAAUAAAGAAAGAAGCGCAUAUUCGCCCCCAAUACAGCUAAAGGGAACAACUUCUGGCGAUUAAAGUCGAUAUAAAAUGGCUAUUAUAGUUGCAUCACAACGUAAUUUCUAUCAUGCACAUUGCUGAUUACACUUUCAUGCUUGAUGUUCUCGAAAAUGAUUGAGCUAUUUGGUAGCGUAUUUGCCUAUAGGUGGUAAUGUUAGAGAACCCUGAUAUGGCUUCAUACGACAGUAUUUCUUGACAUGCAUACAAGGACAGGAAGCCCAAAUGAUUGCAUGCCACAUACUCACAUGACAGAUUUGGAUUGUGUGGGAGUUAAAAUCCGCAAACAUGGGAUAUGAGAACGUUGUA